RNAcentral lists this ribosomal RNA (482 nucleotides) under uncultured bacterium. RNAcentral describes it as "partial 16S ribosomal RNA". It matches the Rfam family "Bacterial small subunit ribosomal RNA", at positions 30 to 507 of the family's 1533-position model. The record is from RNAcentral.
AUUGAACGCUGGCGGCAUGCUUUACACAUGCAAGUCGAACGGUAACAGGCCGCAAGGUGCUGACGAGUGGCGGACGGGGGAGUAAUGCAUCGGAACGUGCCCAGUCGUGGGGGAUAACUACUCGCAAGAGUAGCUAAUACCGCAUACGAUCUAUGAAUGAAAGCGGGGGACCGUAAGGCCUCGCGCGAUUGGAGCGGCCGAUGUCAGAUUAGGUAGUUGGUGGGGUAACGGCUCACCAAGCCAACGAUCUGUAGCUGGUCUGAGAGGACGACCGGCCACACUGGAACUGAGACACGGCCCAGACUCCUACGGGAGGCAGCAGUGGGGAAUUUUGGACAAUGGGCGCAAGCCUGAUCCAGCAAUGCCGCGUGCAGGAAGAAGGCCUUCGGGUUGUAAAAUGCUUUUGUACGGAACGAAACGGUUCUGGUUAAUACCCGGGGCUAAUGACGGUACCGUAAGAAUAAGCACCGGCUAACUACGUG